GCUGGCGGCAGGCCUAACACAUGCAAGUCGAGCGCGCUCUUCGGAGUGAGCGGCGGACGGGUUAGUAACGCGUGGGAACGUACCCAGAUCUAAGGAAUAGCCACUGGAAACGGUGAGUAAUACCUUAUACGCCCUUCGGGGGAAAGAUUUAUCGGAUUUGGAUCGGCCCGCGUUAGAUUAGGUAGUUGGUGGGGUAAUGGCCUACCAAGCCUACGAUCUAUAGCUGGUUUUAGAGGAUGAUCAGCAACACUGGGACUGAGACACGGCCCAGACUCCUACGGGAGGCAGCAGUGGGGAAUCUUAGACAAUGGGCGCAAGCCUGAUCUAGCCAUGCCGCGUGAGUGAUGAAGGCCUUAGGGUCGUAAAGCUCUUUCGCCUGUGAUGAUAAUGACAGUAGCAGGUAAAGAAACCCCGGCUAACUCCGUGCCAGCAGCCGCGGUAAUACGGAGGGGGUUAGCGUUGUUCGGAAUUACUGGGCGUAAAGCGCACGUAGGCGGAUUAGAAAGUUAGGGGUGAAAUCCCGGGGCUCAACCUCGGAAC
This 540-nucleotide ribosomal RNA is filed under the name uncultured Roseobacter sp. RNAcentral's name for it is "bacterial SSU rRNA". It matches the Rfam family "Bacterial small subunit ribosomal RNA", at positions 35 to 621 of the family's 1533-position model. Lineage: Bacteria; Pseudomonadati; Pseudomonadota; Alphaproteobacteria; Rhodobacterales; Roseobacteraceae. The record is from RNAcentral.